UUUUUUUUUUUCAUUUGUCACUGACUGUCUCUUCCCUAAAAUGUAAGUUCCACCAUGGCAGGGCCUUUAUGUUAGUUAACUGCUCUGUCCCCAGCACCUAAAACAGCACUUGACAUAUCAACUGUACUUUUUUUCAUUAUUUUGAUGUCUUUCCCAGAAAUGCUUUAUUCUGUAAAUCGCCAGCAUUACCAAACUUUUUGUGUUGCCUUUUUUUUUUUUUUUUUUUUUUUUGGAUUUUUGAUAUUUUGGGGCCGUACCUGUGGCAUAUGGAAGUUUCCAGGCUAGGAGGUCUAAUCAGAGCUGCAGCUGCCAGCCUACGCCACAGCAACAUAGGAUCAGAACCAUGUCUGCGACCUGCACCACAAGCUAGAUCCUUAACCCAUUGAGCGAGGCCAGCGAUCAAACCCACAUCAUCAUGAACACAAGCUGGGUUCGUUAACCACUAAGCCACAAUGGGAACUCCAGUGUUGCUAUUUUUAGCCCAAUCUUUUAGUAGUAUUGGAGACUUGUAUGCAUCUCUAUUAUUCAAGUCUAUUUACCAUCUCCUGGGUUUUUAAACCUGAGUAAUAGUCACCCUAGACACUUGAGAAAUAUAGAAACAAAGUCAUUUCUAUGAAUUAAAAUUGGCAGGGAAAGGCCCAUGUAAUUUUAAAAAUUUUGACGUUUAGGUAAAUAUUUGAAUAAUAUUAAAUAUUAUUGACUUGAAUAGGGGUUAAUUCUGCUGUUAUAAAUAAUAUGAAUAUGCUUACAUGUAAAUGAAAGAUUGGCUCCCGUAACUUAUGGCUACCUAAGAAAUAUGAUUCUUUAUGAAGAAAUAUUCAGAGAUGGGGUAUAUAAUAGGAAAAUGUACAUUUUGAUUUAUCUAUUUUAUUUAUCUUUUGGAAGGAAAUAUCUUUAGGUGGCAUGACACUAUCUUUUCCUACUCCCAACUAUAUCAGAUAACACAACUUGUAAAGAAACUAAUUCAAGAGAAAUAGAUUGCAUUUCCACUAUUUUUAAAGUGAAAUACCAAACAUCUCCUUUUUAUUACUUAGUAUUAUUUUUAAUUAAAUGUACUAUAAUUUGUAUCCAUUCACCAACUGGGUGUCCAGUGUUUGGGCUAUUGUGAAUAAAGAUGUUAUAAACAUUUCAUCUAAAGAUCUCUGUGUAGACAUAUUCUAACUACUCUUUGUUAAAUACCUUGGAGUGGGAUUGCUGGGUUGUAUGGUAAAGCAUAUAUUUUAGUUUCUAAAAAACUACCAAACCAUUUUCCAAAGGAGAUAUACCAUUUUACAUUUCCACAAGAUAUAGAUGAGAGUUCUUACUGACUCUUCAUGCGAGCAUUUGGUAUGGUGGUUUCUUUUCAUUUUAACUAUUCUUUCUGCUAAGUGUGUAGUGGUAACUCGUAAUUUGCAUUUCCCUAAUAACUAGUGAUAAUAUAUUUAAGUGUGUUUUCCAUUCUUAUCUUUCUAGUAAGGUAUCUUGAAAUUGUUUCCAAUUUUAUAAAACAGAAUUUUAGAUAUAAGUCAUCAGUCAGAUAAACUGCAAAUAUUUUCUCUGAGUCUGUGGCUUGUCUUUUCAUUUCCUUAACAGUAUCUUGGAAUGGCAAAAUUUCAAAAAUUUCAAUAAAGUCCAGUUUAUCCAUUUUUUUCUCUUAUAGUUUGUUCUUUGUGUGUAGAAAUUUUUGCCUAACUUGAGGUCAUCACAGAUUUUUCUCCUGUUUUCUUCUACAAGGAUUAUACUUUUUGCUUUUAAAUCUGAUUCAUUUCAAGUUGAUUUUUGUAGAAAGUAUGAGGUUUGGAUCAAAAUUGUGUGGGGGGUGGGUUUUUGAUUCUUUGUUUUUGUAAUAUGCAUAUCCCAUUUUUCCAGCACCAUUUGUUGAAAAGACUAUUCUAAUGAAUUUUUCUUUCACCUAUGCAAACUGUUGUCCAUAUAUGUCUGGGUCUGUUUCUGGGCUCCCUAUUCUGACCUAUUAAUUUAUAUUUCUGUCCUAUACUAUAGUAACUUAUACUAUCUUGAUUACCAUACUUUACAGUAAAUCAUGAUAUCAAGUAGUAUGAGUUCUAAAUUCUGUUCUUUUUCAAACUUGUUUUGGUAUUCUAAAUUCCUUUGCUUUACCACAUUUUACAUUUUUUAAGUUUUUUUAAAAAAAAUGUUAUUACAGUUGAUUUACAAUGUUCUGUCAAUUUCUGCUGUACAGUGAAGUGACCCAGUUUGAUAGAUAGAUAGAUAGAUAGACCUUAUAUAUGUAUAUUUACAUUAUUCUUCUCAUAUUAUCUUCUAUCAAGUGAUUGGAUAUAGUUUCCUGUGCUAUACAGCAGGACCUCAUUGCUUGUCCAUUCUAAAUGUAAUAGUUUCCAACUACCAACCCCAAACGCCCAGUCCAUCACACUCAUUCCUCCUUCCCUUUGGCAACCGCAAGUCUGUUCUCUCCGUACCACAUACAUUUUAGAAAUAACUUGUCAAUUUCUACCAAAAAAGUCUGCUGGGGCUUUUAUUGAGAUCAUAAUGAAUCUAUAAUCAAUUUGGAAAAUAUUGACAAUUUAACACUACUGACAUCUGACUUAGGAUCACAAUAAGUUGUUCUCUGCUGUUAGGUCUUUAACUUGUAAGUGUGCUGUGGUUUUUCAUAUAUACUAUUAGAUUUACCCCUUAGUAGUUCAUAUUUUUCUACUGUUAAAAAUUAUUUUUGAAAUUUUUAAGUGUUCAUUGUUUUUUAGGUUUAACCUUUGUUCUAUGAUUAGUUCUAAUAGCUUAUUCUAGAUUUUCUGAGGUUUUCUACAUAAUCAUGUCUUCACAAUCUGAAUGCCUUUUUUCUUCUUGCGUUAAUGUAUUUUCUAUGACCUCUAGUAUAAUAUUAGUAAAAAUGGUCAUCUCCACCUAUUCCUAACUGGGUUGGAGGAGGUAAGAAUUCAGUCUUUCACCAUUGAAUGUGUUACGGGCCAUAGGUUUUUUUGUAGUUGACCUUUAUCUUGUCCACGAAGUUCCCUUCUAGUCGUAGUUUUCUGAGCAUUAAAAGAAAAAUGUUUCUUUUAUUCUUAAAAUAACCAUAAGUACUUUUUCAUGGAAUAUGUGCACCUGUUAUAAACAGAUCAUGGAAUCAGACUGGAGACGGCUACCCUCAUUGCUCACUUCAUAUUGAUUUUCUCCCAGUACUUGUUUUUUUUAUCAAAGAAACCAUUGAAACCCAGCUUUGUAAUGUUAUGGGGUCUAAUGAUGAAACCAAACCAUCUCAAGCUGGUAGUUGAUGUUGUUUUGGGCCAAAGAGACAUUUAUUACACUGUUUCCCUCAAAAAUUUAAAAUUUCCUGCAGCACCCAUGUGUUUUUUCUGCAUUUACCAACCACAGCACUAGCCCACACACUGCUUUUAAGAAUUUAUUAAAACUGAUUUAUUCUUACCUGCUUUAUAAACUCACUCUUGCUGUCAUGCUAUGUCAAGUUUAGGAUACAGUUAAUGUCUAUCAGCUCCUCUUGGAGAGUCCUGUCAUUCUUUAGAAUGAUUCAGCUCGUUUGAUUGCCUAGUGACCUCUGCUUUCUAAUGGGUUCAAGAAAAACUAAGAUUUUUUAAAGAGUAACUGUCUUCUUCCUUGUUAGAACAGCAAGAAUGUUCUCUUAGAGCUAUUUACGUCCUAAGAGAAACUCUCAAAUGAGUGAGUCAACUUCACUGGGGUAUAAUAUACAUACAGUAAAUUUCAUUCUCUGUAAGCGUACACAGUUUGAUGAGGUUUGCAAAAUAUGUAACAAUCAUGAUACAGAAUAUUUUCAUCACUCCAAAGGUUUUUCACUCUGCCCCUUUCCAGUCAAUCUCCAUACUUAAAUUGUGGCCCAGGAAACCACUGAUCUUUUAAUUAUAUAUUAGAUUUGUCUAACUAGAAUUUAAUAUGUAAAUUAAUAAAAUCAUCAGUGUAUGCACUCUCUUUUGUGUGACCUUUGCUCAACACUUUGUUUCUGAGAUUAGUUCAUGUCAGUUGCAUGUAUCCAUGGUUCAUUCCUUUUUAUUGCUUUGUUUAAAAUUCCACUGUAUGGCUAUACUACUCACCUAAUGAAUGGAUUUCCCGUGUUUAGCUCAUACAAAUAAAACAUCUAUGAAC
This 4071-nucleotide long non-coding RNA is filed under the name Sus scrofa (pig). Its description in RNAcentral is "lncRNA (ENSSSCG00000058841.1)". The record is from RNAcentral. Lineage: Eukaryota; Metazoa; Chordata; Mammalia; Artiodactyla; Suidae.